GGGAAAAUCUUCACAAUUAAUUAUCAGACGAUGAUUAUUGGCUAUUGGCUAAUACAUAUUUCUCCACAUGCACGUAAAUAUCCUUAAUGAGUUCUUGUUAAUACCCAUUUUUGUAGGGGAUCUUGUUCUUCAAGCGUCUUUUAUUUUGGCCUAUGCUUUUGUUGAUGCGUCCAACUAUUAGCGACACUUAAAUGAAAAUCCCAUGGGCAAGCAGUGAAAUUAAUGUAAGUAUA
RNAcentral lists this unclassified non-coding RNA (233 nucleotides) under Hevea brasiliensis (rubber tree). Lineage: Eukaryota; Viridiplantae; Streptophyta; Magnoliopsida; Malpighiales; Euphorbiaceae. The record is from RNAcentral.